RNAcentral lists this ribosomal RNA (478 nucleotides) under uncultured bacterium. RNAcentral describes it as "partial 16S ribosomal RNA". It matches the Rfam family "Bacterial small subunit ribosomal RNA", at positions 28 to 523 of the family's 1533-position model. The record is from RNAcentral.
GACGAACGCUGGCGGCGUGCUUAACACAUGCAAGUCGAACGGUAAGGCCCUUCGGGGUACACGAGUGGCGAACGGGUGAGUAACACGUGGGUGAUCUGCCCUGCACUUCGGGAUAAGCCUGGGAAACUGGGUCUAAUACCGGAUAGGACCACUGCCUGCAUGGGUGGUGGUGGAAAGCUUUUGCGGUGUGGGAUGGGCCCGCGGCCUAUCAGCUUGUUGGUGGGGUGAUGGCCUACCAAGGCGACGACGGGUAGCCGGCCUGAGAGGGUGACCGGCCACACUGGGACUGGGAUACGGCCCAGACUCCUACGGGAGGCAGCAGUGGGGAAUAUUGCACAAUGGGCGCAAGCCUGAUGCAGCGACGCCGCGUGAGGGAUGACGGCCUUCGGGUUGUAAACCUCUUUCAGCACCGACGAAGCGCAAGUGACGGUAGGUGCAGAAGAAGGACCGGCCAACUACGUGCCAGCAGCCGCGGUAA